This 378-nucleotide ribosomal RNA is filed under the name uncultured eukaryote. RNAcentral describes it as "SSU rRNA". It matches the Rfam family "Eukaryotic small subunit ribosomal RNA", at positions 567 to 990 of the family's 1831-position model. The record is from RNAcentral.
CCAGCACCUGCGGUAAUUCCAGCUCCAAUAGCGUAUAUUAAAGUUGUUGCAGUUAAAACGCUCGUAGUCUGAGAUGGAGUGUGUGGGGGUGUGGGUCGAUAGAUUUGCAUACUCGCGCACUCGUUCUGACAGCAAUGUCGGGGUUACUUUGAGGAAAUUAGAGUGUUCAAAGCAGGCGAUUGCUUGAAUACUGCAGCAUGGAAUAAUGGAAUAGGACUCGCGUCAUAUUUUGUUGGUUUGGAGAUGUGAGUAAUGAUGAAUAGGGACAGUUGGGGGCAUUGGUAUUCAGUAGUCAGAGGUGAAAUUCUUGGAUUUACUGAAGACUAACUAGUGCGAAAGCAUUUGCCAAGGAGGUUUGCAUUGAUCAAGAACGAAAGU